This 75-nucleotide transfer RNA is filed under the name Bacteriophage sp. Its description in RNAcentral is "tRNA-Met". It matches the Rfam family "tRNA". From Rfam's summary of the family: Transfer RNA (tRNA) molecules are approximately 80 nucleotides in length. Their secondary structure includes four short double-helical elements and three loops (D, anti-codon, and T loops). Further hydrogen bonds mediate the characteristic L-shaped molecular structure. tRNAs have two regions of fundamental functional importance: the anti-codon, which is responsible for specific mRNA codon recognition, and the 3' end, to which the tRNAs corresponding amino acid is attached (by aminoacyl-tRNA synthetases). tRNAs cope with the degeneracy of the genetic code in two manners: having more than one tRNA (with a specific anti-codon) for a particular amino acid; and 'wobble' base-pairing, i.e. permitting non-standard base-pairing at the 3rd anti-codon position. RNAcentral also lists the same sequence under 1 other name. The record is from RNAcentral.
UGCGAGAUAGAGUAUUUGGUAACUCGGCAGAUUCAUUCUCUGUGUCAUAUGUUGGUUCAAAUCCAACUCUCGCUA